RNAcentral lists this long non-coding RNA (499 nucleotides) under Crocodylus porosus (Australian saltwater crocodile). RNAcentral describes it as "lncRNA (ENSCPRG00005010589.1)". The record is from RNAcentral. Lineage: Eukaryota; Metazoa; Chordata; Crocodylia; Crocodylidae.
CCAGUCACCGUGGUAACUGCCAGAAAAAUUCUCCUGAAGUUUGAAGAGGUCAGCAAACAGGGUCAACAACUCUGGCCUCUUUCCGAGAUGGGCCUGGCAGGCCCCAUCCUGCAGUUGGAGUGCUAGGCUGGGCCUAGCCCUGGGAGGUGGGCUAUUCCAGCUCUGAUAUAAAUUUUUUGAGUCAGUUCAUGGCCUGGACUCUCCAGGUGGCCUCCAAAAUCGAUUGUGACCUCCUGACCUUGUCUAACGGAGGCAUAGCAUCCAACCUAAGUAAGGAUUUAGCCAGGACUGACAGCUUUCCACUGAGUGUUAUUGGGGACAGUACAAACAGUUUUGGAAGCAAAGAGGGCUUUGGUAAAAUGUAUUCACAUGGAAAGGUCCAUUGACUUCAGUGGGACUCCUUGCGUGGCUGGAUCCUGAUUUUGGCAGGCAGCGGAAUCCAUGUGUGACUUGCUGUGGGAGUAUGAAGAGGCCAUAAAGCAGACAUACCUGCCAGAAC